This 254-nucleotide ribosomal RNA is filed under the name uncultured bacterium. RNAcentral describes it as "partial 16S ribosomal RNA". It matches the Rfam family "Bacterial small subunit ribosomal RNA", at positions 524 to 776 of the family's 1533-position model. The record is from RNAcentral.
AACGUAGGACGCAAGCGUUAUCCGGAGUUACUGGGCGUAAAGCGCGGGCAGGCGGCCCUGCAAGUCUGAUGUAAAAUCUCCCUGGCUCAACCGGGAGAAGCCAUUGGAAACUACGGGGCUGGAGUCUGGCAGAGGUAGGCGGAAUUCCGGGUGGAGUGGUGAAAUGCGUAGAGAUCCGGAGGAACACCAGAGGCGAAGGCGGCCUACUGGGCCAGCACUGACGCUGAGCCGCGAAAGCCAGGGGAGCGAACGGG